Molecule: long non-coding RNA, 802 nt
Organism: Macrobrachium nipponense
Lineage: Eukaryota; Metazoa; Arthropoda; Malacostraca; Decapoda; Palaemonidae
Exons: 3
Source: RefSeq, a predicted model, not a curated record
CACAUCUUUUCCAAAGAUGGUGGUUGCGGGACACUUUUAAGGUUCAUCGUCGUGAACUAUUUAUAUUUGUUCUCCGUUAAUGUUAAGUGAACAGGACUUGCGAGUUGCGGACUUGCGGUCCGCAUUCUUUUUUAGUACGAUUACUUCGUUUACUUCGUACCCUGAUGGGUAGGAUAGACUGGAAGGUUUGGCGGUAACUUUCUUGGUAUUUGGUGGACGACGAAAGCCUUAGUGGAAUAUGACUGGACGAGACAUGCCUAUGGCAUACUUAGGAGUUCCAGCCUUUCGGUGAAAAUCUUUCAGUUAUUAGGUUUUUCAGUGAUUGGUAUUUACCUAAAGUUUGGAAGCGAAACUGUCCUCUUCAGCGGUUAUUUGACAGGGAGUCAACGAUUAGCAAUACUGGAGCGUAACGACUGUUAAACCAUGAUGUAGGUGCUGCCGGAGGGUGUGAUUUUUAUUAAUUUUUUAUUUAUUUUUUAAGGAGCGUCCGUGAUUUCUAAAAUGCAUUUGGCUUAGAGAAUUUUUUUAUUUUUAUAGAUGUUAAAGGAUUAAAUGUAAUUCGCCGCACUUUAAUUGCAGAAACACCAUUUUUGAAUAGAAUACAGAUCUGUAAUUCCCUUAAACUUUUCGUGAGUUGUUCAGAUAGGAGAUUGUUAGAUUUAUGGAAUUAAUUUAUUUUUAAAACUAUGCAUUUAUAAUCUGUUGAAUUUCUUUAUCCUUUAAAUUAGAUCUCUGUAUUUGUACUUUUGAGUAUAUGUACUCUGAUUUUUGUUGAAUUUCUUUACCCGUUAAAUUAUAUCUU